Long non-coding RNA from Papaver somniferum (opium poppy), 983 nucleotides. RefSeq lists it as uncharacterized. The record is from RefSeq and is a predicted model, not a curated record. NCBI's taxonomy places the organism in Eukaryota, Viridiplantae, Streptophyta, Magnoliopsida, Ranunculales, Papaveraceae. The transcript is spliced from 6 exons.
UUUGAUUUUGCUCCCAUCUCCCUUUCCCUCUUUUCCUGUGUGUUUCCGCCGUUUUAGAACCAUCGCCACCAUGGCUUUUGAUGUGGAUGAUCAUCAAACAACAACAACAAAAAGAUGGUAACAUGAUGAUAUCUCCUCUCAAACAUAAGAUCUAAGUUGGUCAUUCAAGACUUCAUGGAUUAUCUGGAUCUCCAAUUCACAUACCUCAAGUACUUCUUCGGCCUCUUCUUAACCAGAAAUGGAGCAAAUUCCACAGGUUGACAUGAGCGUCAAUUUUUUUUUGGCGAUCAACGUUAUCCCAGGCAAAGCAACCUUUGUGACGCUGGAUCUUGAAGGACAAACUUACUGCACUAGAGAUGAGGUAGAUGUUAAUCCUCACUGGCACCAAACCUUCAUCUUCAACGUCAGUUUGUACCUUACACUUCAGGAUCUCAAACUUCAGGCUUCACCCCUUUUAUAGCGUCGAAAUAAUCCUUCACGAGCUUCUUAUAACAUUCCCUUUUAUCUCCAUUCUGGCACUUCAAGACGUUAUGGUAUAGUCUCCAUGCCGUGGAGUUGUUGGAGAAAAUGAUGACUCUAGACCCAUAUCAGGUUGAUGGGAGUUUAAUCUUAUAUAACCAAAAGAGAAUAAUAGUGUGAGCCUAGUUUCACCAAAUACAAAAGGAAGGACCAAUAAGAGGAAAUCAAUGGAACAUGGGGAAAAGCCUGAGAGGAAAACUUGAAGAGUGGAAUGGAGGAUUUUUCCUGCUGCUUUUGGUGUUCCUUGAAGUUUUUUGUUGGAGAAUGGAGAUGAUUUGAACUUACUAAUAGUGCAGUAGUUGUGUUUUUUAGUACAAUACGCUUGCAUAAGUCUCACAAGUUGACAGACAAUUGAGAAAUUUGAUAAAUCUGUAAUAUGGAGCAUUGUGACAUGAAACUUGUCAUCUGUGUUUUGAAAUUCUCUUUAUACAUCAAAACAUGCCUCAUGAUCUAAAAUUUGCAAC